RNAcentral lists this ribosomal RNA (759 nucleotides) under uncultured Aggregatibacter sp. Its description in RNAcentral is "bacterial SSU rRNA". It matches the Rfam family "Bacterial small subunit ribosomal RNA", at positions 28 to 776 of the family's 1533-position model. The record is from RNAcentral. Lineage: Bacteria; Pseudomonadati; Pseudomonadota; Gammaproteobacteria; Pasteurellales; Pasteurellaceae.
AUUGAACGCUGGCGGCAGGCUUAACACAUGCAAGUCGAACGGUAGCAGGUAAGUACUUGUACUUAUGCUGACGAGUGGCGGACGGGUGAGUAAUGCUUGGGGAUCUGGCUUAUGGAGGGGGAUAACGACGGGAAACUGUCGCUAAUACCGCGUAGAAUCGGGAGAUGAAAGUGUGGGACCUUCGGGCCACAUGCCAUAGGAUGAGCCCAAGUGGGAUUAGGUAGUUGGUGGGGUAAUGGCCUACCAAGCCGACGAUCUCUAGCUGGUCUGAGAGGAUGACCAGCCACACCGGGACUGAGACACGGCCCGGACUCCUACGGGAGGCAGCAGUGGGGAGUAUUGCGCAAUGGGGGCAACCCUGACGCAGCCAUGCCGCGUGAAUGAAGAAGGCCUUCGGGUUGUAAAGUUCUUUCGGUGACGAGGAAGGUUGUUGUGUUAAUAGCGCAACAAAUUGACGUUAAUCACAGAAGAAGCACCGGCUAACUCCGUGCCAGCAGCCGCGGUAAUACGGAGGGUGCGAGCGUUAAUCGGAAUAACUGGGCGUAAAGGGCACGCAGGCGGACUUUUAAGUGAGGUGUGAAAUCCCCGGGCUUAACCUGGGAAUUGCAUUUCAGACUGGGGGUCUAGAGUACUUUAGGGAGGGGUAGAAUUCCACGUGUAGCGGUGAAAUGCGUAGAGAUGUGGAGGAAUACCGAAGGCGAAGGCAGCCCCUUGGGAAUGUACUGACGCUCAUGUGCGAAAGCGUGGGGAGCAAACAGG